CGCGGCCUAUCAGCUUGUUGGUGGGGUGAUGGCCUACCAAGGCGUCGACGGGUAGCUGGUCUGAGAGGACGAUCAGCCACACUGGGACUGAGACACGGCCCAGACUCCUACGGGAGGCAGCAGUGGGGAAUCUUGCCCAAUGGGCGAAAGCCUGAGGCAGCAACGCCGCGUGGGGGAUGACGGCUUUCGGGUUGUAAACCCCUUUCAGCAGGGACGAAGUUGACGGUACCUGCAGAAGAAGCCCCGGCCAACUACGUGCCAGCAGCCGCGGUAAUACGUAGGGGGCGAGCGUUGUCCGGAUUUAUUGGGCGUAAAGAGCUCGUAGGCGGCUCGGUGAGUCGGAUGUGAAAUCUCCAAGCUCAACUUGGAGAGGCCAUUCGAUACUGCUGUGGCUUGAGUCCGGUAGAGGAGCAUGGAAUUCCCGGUGUAGCGGUGAAAUGCGCAGAUAUCGGGAGGAACACCAGUAGCGAAGGCGGUGCUCUGGGCCGGUACUGACGCUGAGGAGCGAGAGCGUGGGGAGCGAACAGAAUUAGAUACCCUGGUAGUCCACGCUGUAAACGUUGGGCACUAGGUGUGGGGUCCUAUCGACGGGUUCCGUGUCGUAGCUAACGCUUUGAGUGCCCCGCCUGGGGAGUACGG
RNAcentral lists this ribosomal RNA (639 nucleotides) under uncultured Actinomycetes bacterium. Its description in RNAcentral is "bacterial SSU rRNA". It matches the Rfam family "Bacterial small subunit ribosomal RNA", at positions 232 to 885 of the family's 1533-position model. The record is from RNAcentral. Lineage: Bacteria; Bacillati; Actinomycetota; Actinomycetes.